This 206-nucleotide ribosomal RNA is filed under the name uncultured bacterium. Its description in RNAcentral is "partial 16S ribosomal RNA". It matches the Rfam family "Bacterial small subunit ribosomal RNA", at positions 568 to 774 of the family's 1533-position model. The record is from RNAcentral.
AGCGUAGGCGGGAUCGCAAGUCAGAUGUGAAAUACAUAGGCUUAACCUAUGGGCUGCAUUUGAAACUGCGGUUCUUGAGUGAAGUAGAGGUAAGCGGAAUUCCUGGUGUAGCGGUGAAAUGCGUAGAUAUCAGGAGGAACACCGGUGGCGAAGGCGGCUUACUGGGCUUUAACUGACGCUGAGGCUGAAAGCGUGGGUAGCAAACA